RNAcentral lists this long non-coding RNA (822 nucleotides) under Pogona vitticeps (central bearded dragon). RNAcentral's name for it is "lncRNA (ENSPVIG00000018634.1)". The record is from RNAcentral. Lineage: Eukaryota; Metazoa; Chordata; Lepidosauria; Squamata; Agamidae.
UUAAAUGAGUCAUGUGUUCUUACAGGGACACAAUUUGGACUAGAAUUCCUGAAGCAAAGGUUAAAAGAAGAAAUUUUUGAGGAUUUUCAUGGGCAAGAUACAUCUGGACUUACGGGACUCAAUUACACAAUUUUUAAGAUAAGAUUUGAGACUGUUGAAUUUCCCAAUGCAUCCGUGUCUCUCAAAUCUGGUAAUGAGAUUAAACUACUGAUUAAAGAUGCUUCAGCAACUCUCACUGCAGAUUGGAAACUGAAGACUUGGCUGUUAAGUUCCGGAAAACUGACUGUCUUCAUUUCUGGAGUGUCUGUCACAGCGGUUGCAACAGUAUCACAGGAUGAGACAGGUCGGCCAAUUCUGUUGCUUGAAAGCUGCCAGGGAAGUGUUGAUGGUAUUGAUAUUCAACUGGAUCAGUCAUCUAGGUAUAUUAGAUGAAAAUUUUUCUAAGUUCUAAAUGAAUUAGUCAAUGAUAUAAAGCCCAUAUUUCCAGAUGGAAUACGUAUGUACUACAGUGGUGCCUUGAGUUCUGAACUUAAUCCGUUCCGGUAUGAUGGUCAUAACUCAAAGCACCAUUUCCCACAGGAAUACAUUGAAAUGCAAUUAAUCUGUUCCGGCUGUUUUUAAAGGUUAAAAAAGGGCAGUAGAGGAGAGAGGAAGGGAGGGAACAAUGGAGAAAAGACGAAGGAAAGAAGGUCAUCACUGGGGUACACAGACCCCUCAGACAAAGGUUUGUGCUUUUAAGCACAAAAAGAGAGAGGAUAGAGAGAGAGAGAAGACAAUGGGGGUGGGCAGAGUUUGGAGUUUAAAACAAACAAACAAAAAAAC